RNAcentral lists this ribosomal RNA (258 nucleotides) under uncultured bacterium. RNAcentral's name for it is "partial 16S ribosomal RNA". It matches the Rfam family "Archaeal small subunit ribosomal RNA", at positions 474 to 727 of the family's 1478-position model. The record is from RNAcentral.
UACCAGCACCCCCGAGUGGUCGGGGACGAUUAUUGGGCCUAAAGCAUCCGUAGCCGGUCCUGCAAGUCUUCCGUUAAAUCCAGCUGCUCAACAGAUGGGCUGCGGGGGGAUACUACAGGGCUAGGAGGCGGGAGAGGCAAGCGGUACUUUAUGGGUAGGGGUAAAAAUCCGUUGAUCCAUAGAAGACCACCAGUGGCGAAGGCGGCUUGCCAGAACGCGCUCGACGGUGAGGGAUGAAAGCUGGGGGGAGCAAACCGG